AGCAGCAUCUAAAUGAGAAAGCUGGAAGCUAGAACACUCCGUUACACCAUACACAAAAAUAAACUCAAAAUGGAUCAAAGACUUAAAACGUAAGACAAGAUACAAUAAACCUGCUAGAA
Molecule: non-coding RNA, 119 nt
Organism: Vicugna pacos (alpaca)
Lineage: Eukaryota; Metazoa; Chordata; Mammalia; Artiodactyla; Camelidae
Source: RefSeq, a predicted model, not a curated record